GACGAACCACCCAAACGUUAUUCGGAAUUACUGGGCUUAAAGGGAGCGUAGGCGGACUUAUAAGUCAGUGGUGAAAUCUCCGGGCUUAACCCGGAAACUGCCAUUGAUACUGUAGGUCUAGAGUACAUUUGCUGUGGGCGGAAUAUGACAUGUAGUGGUGAAAUACUUAGAUAUGUCAUAGAACACCGAUUGCGAAGGCAGCUCACAAAAAUGUAACUGACGCUGAGGCUCGAAAGUGCGGGGAUCAAACAGG
Molecule: ribosomal RNA, 253 nt
Filed under: uncultured bacterium
Lineage: Bacteria
Description: partial 16S ribosomal RNA
Rfam family: Bacterial small subunit ribosomal RNA
Source: RNAcentral